This 253-nucleotide ribosomal RNA is filed under the name uncultured bacterium. RNAcentral describes it as "partial 16S ribosomal RNA". It matches the Rfam family "Bacterial small subunit ribosomal RNA", at positions 524 to 776 of the family's 1533-position model. The record is from RNAcentral.
UACGAAGGGUGCAAGCGUUGUCCGGAAUUAUUGGGCGUAAAGAGCUCGUAGGCGGUUUGUCGCGUCUGCUGUGAAAACCUAAGGCUCAACCUUGGGCUUGCAGUGGGUACGGGCAGACUAGAGUGCGGUAGGGGUGACUGGAAUUCCUGGUGUAGCGGUGGAAUGCGCAGAUAUCAGGAGGAACACCGAUGGCGAAGGCAGGUCACUGGGCCGCAACUGACGCUGAGGAGCGAAAGCAUGGGGAGCGAACAGG